Gambusia affinis (western mosquitofish) is the source of this 534-nucleotide non-coding RNA. NCBI's taxonomy places the organism in Eukaryota, Metazoa, Chordata, Actinopteri, Cyprinodontiformes, Poeciliidae. The record is from the annotation of a RefSeq genome assembly.
CUCUCCUGGUGCUCUGUGUUCCAGCAUUGUGUCAAUAAGAAGUGGUGCUGUGAAGAGAACAACAGUCAGACUGAAUGUUGAACAUCAGCUGCUUUCUCCUGCUGAUUUAAACCUUGUUGGACAGAUGGAACAUUGGCUGUGGAUUAUUCUGGCUGCUCUUUUCUCUGAAUGUAAAGGAGACUCAGUGAAGCAGACAGAAGGAGAACUUGUUGCUGCUGCAGGACAAUCACUGACUCUGGGAUGCACUUAUGAGAGCAGUGUGAGUGUCACAUUGUUCUGGUACAAACAAGAAGAAAACAGCUACCCAAAGUACAUGCUGAAGCAGCUGUCAUCAUCAAAAUAUAAAGCUCAAGAUUUUGACAAUGACAGAUUUGAUGCUGACUUCAAUAAAGACGAGAAAUCCUUCAACCUGAAGAUCCAGGAUCUCCGUCCGUCAGACUCUGCUGUGUACUACUGCGCUCUGCAGCCCACAGUGACAGGAAACACCAGAACCCUGUACUAAAACCUGCAGUACUCCACAGCAGCCACUAGAGG